GUUUAAAGCAGUGAAAUUUUUCUUAUUUUUAACAGAAUUCUUCAUUUCCCACAUUUCCCUUUGGGUCUCCAUAAACUGUAAAUGCUCUGCUCAGGUCUGAAUUCUCAUUCAUUCAACUCCACAGUCCUCUUCAACCCUAUUUCUGAGUAAUGACACCAAAAGGUGGUUUGGAGCGCUGGCC
Sphaeramia orbicularis (orbiculate cardinalfish) is the source of this 181-nucleotide long non-coding RNA. RefSeq lists it as uncharacterized. The transcript is spliced from 3 exons. The record is from RefSeq and is a predicted model, not a curated record. NCBI's taxonomy places the organism in Eukaryota, Metazoa, Chordata, Actinopteri, Kurtiformes, Apogonidae.